This 1024-nucleotide long non-coding RNA is filed under the name Heterocephalus glaber (naked mole-rat). Its description in RNAcentral is "lncRNA (ENSHGLG00100042587.1)". Lineage: Eukaryota; Metazoa; Chordata; Mammalia; Rodentia; Bathyergidae. The record is from RNAcentral.
AUUUAUUUCUAUCAACUAAUCACUUAGGUGAAUUCUAGGAAUCUCGGUAACUGUCAGGCCUGAUUAAUGUGAUUUUAUAAACCAAUCCAGUUUUAGUUUCCUUUUAUAUAAUUUUCAAACUGAUCUCACAUCUUAAUUGAAAUGGUAUGACAUUUUCUUACUGCACUUGACCCAGUACUCUUGCUUGCCUGUUUUUGAACUCUGAAUCAGUUGGAUUGGAUACUUAGUAUGUCACUUCUAAAUUGAAAAUGACAUCAUUAUAAAGAUGGUUUCUAGAGAAGGAUAAGACCUAUUGACGUCUCUGUAUAUCUCAAAAGUCUGCUUUAACAACCAAUAACAUUUUUAUGAGUAUUCGUUUUUAAAAACUACUUUAGGGAAUCAGUAAAGUCCUAAAUAAGCCUGGUAGAUAACUUCCUCUUUGAUAAUCUCAAAUUUUCCAAGUCUUCAUCAGUCCUAGCUAUCUUGUGUAGCAUGUAACAUGCAAGGCAUUUCUCUGAUGUACAGUACUAUAUUCCUGUAUGCGUUAGUCUUAUUUUCUACCCUAUAAUUCCAGAUUUCUCAUACUUUUAAGAAUCGACUAGCUAUUUAAAAGACAGGAAAAUUACUAAAUACUUGACUAUUCAUAGGGUAAGCAAACAUCUUCCUAUUCCUCCUAGCUUGGCAUAUGCAAAUCAUACUUAAUAUUUGUUAAAAGCAUAUUUAUAAAGCACAAUCUAUUGGGGAUUUUUUUAAAAAAUACAAUAAAAUCUGAUUUACAGUACUUUGUGUUUUUUGCAGCCUAAGUAUUGACCCUCACCCAACUUUAUUUUCAAAAUCAAAGAAACUUUAUGUAAUAUGUUUCCAUAGCAUCAAAUUUUAGUAACAGAUUUUUUUAAAACCUUGAAAGGUAUUUUAAAAUAUUAUGUAGUUGGGCUGGGGAUUUAACUCAGUGGUUCCGCUGCCUGUCUCACAAGCAGAAGGACCCGAGUUCGAUCCCCGGUACCAAAACAAACAAAAAAUAUUAUGUAGUCAAUUGGAAGUGGUG